This 374-nucleotide ribosomal RNA is filed under the name uncultured Glomus. Its description in RNAcentral is "SSU rRNA". It matches the Rfam family "Eukaryotic small subunit ribosomal RNA", at positions 569 to 947 of the family's 1831-position model. Lineage: Eukaryota; Fungi; Glomeromycota; Glomeromycetes; Glomerales; Glomeraceae. The record is from RNAcentral.
AGCAGCCGCGGUAAUUCCAGCUCCAAUAGCGUAUAUUAAAGUUGUUGCAGUUAAAAAGCUCGUAGUUGAAUUUCGGGGUUAGUAGAUUGGUCAUGCCUCUGGUAUGCACUGGUCUUACUGAUUCCUCCUUCCUGAUGAACCGUAAUGCCAUUAAUUUGGUGUUGCGGGGAAACUGGACUGUUACUUUGAAAAAUUAGAGUGUUUAAAGCAGGCUAACGCUUGAAUACAUUAGCAUGGAAUAAUGAAAUAGGACGUUCGACCUUAUUUUGUUGGUUUCUAGGAUUGACGUAAUGAUUAAUAGGGAUAGUUGGGGGCAUUAGUAUUCAAUUGUCAGAGGUGAAAUUCUUGGUAUUUAUUGAAGACUAACUACUGCG